Molecule: non-coding RNA, 70 nt
Organism: Podarcis lilfordi (Lilford's wall lizard)
Lineage: Eukaryota; Metazoa; Chordata; Lepidosauria; Squamata; Lacertidae
Source: the annotation of a GenBank genome assembly
GAACUUGCUCCGUCGGUAGAGCAGGAGACUCUUAAUCUCAGCGUCAUGAGUUCGAGCCCCACGUUGGGCA